This is a non-coding RNA of Pelobates cultripes (western spadefoot toad), 202 nucleotides long. NCBI's taxonomy places the organism in Eukaryota, Metazoa, Chordata, Amphibia, Anura, Pelobatidae. The record is from the annotation of a GenBank genome assembly.
CUUUCAAAAACUCAACAUCUGACAAUUCCUAUAACGUCCACCCCUUUCUUCCUCUGUUCUCCCUUCCUAUAACUCUACUCUAAAUGUAAAGUUUCUUCAAAAACAUGACAAGCUAAGCUAAGCUAACCUAAACUCAUGCAAAGGUGUCCAUAGAAAGCCAAGCAGGAUAUUGAGGACAAUUUGGCUCUGCAUUAGGGUGUGC